This 440-nucleotide long non-coding RNA is filed under the name Capsicum annuum. RNAcentral describes it as "long non-coding RNA (CANN_LNC006182)". The record is from RNAcentral. Lineage: Eukaryota; Viridiplantae; Streptophyta; Magnoliopsida; Solanales; Solanaceae.
AGUUAUAUCUGUUAUCAAUGACUCAUGUUAUCGGUAAUCAGACUCAGUAGUAAGUGCCAUCACGAAUUCAGUCACAGUCACUUAUUCAUGCAUAUAUUCUCACGUUCAUGUUAUACAGUCAGUUAGCAUUGUUCAUGCAUUUGAACCCUUUGCAUUCAGCCUAACUCACAUGCAUACCAGUACAUUCCAUCGUACUGACACAUUUGUGCUAUGAUGUUUUAUUCUCUACCAUUGGUUUAGAAGCACGAGCUCCAAAGCAUCAGUAGUAUUCCAGUUUCAGCAGUGAGUUCUCAUCCUUCGAGGACAUGAUCAUUACUUUAUUUCUUCAUUACUUAGUUUAUUUCAGCAGUUGGAGUUAGUUGGGGACAUGUUCCAUCAACUCCUUAUUCAGACAGUUUUGAGGCUUUCAGACUACAGUAUUUUCAGACUAGAUGUUUUCA